This 253-nucleotide ribosomal RNA is filed under the name uncultured bacterium. RNAcentral's name for it is "partial 16S ribosomal RNA". It matches the Rfam family "Bacterial small subunit ribosomal RNA", at positions 524 to 776 of the family's 1533-position model. The record is from RNAcentral.
UACAGAGGCCUCGAGCGUUAGGCGGAAUCACUGGGCUUAAAGCGUGUGUAGGCGGACUUCUAAGUGCCUUGUGAAAUCCCACGGCUCACCCGUGGAACGGCUGGGCAUACUGGGAGUCUUGAGCCACCUAGGGGCUGCCGGAACAAAUGGUGGAGCGGUGAAAUGCGUAGAUAUCAUUUGGAACGCCAACGGAGAAAUCAGGUAGCUGGGGGUGUGCUGACGCUGAGACACGAAAGCCAGGGGAGCGAACGGG